RNAcentral lists this unclassified non-coding RNA (411 nucleotides) under Trichogonia eupatorioides. RNAcentral describes it as "partial contains external transcribed spacer and 18S ribosomal RNA". The record is from RNAcentral. Lineage: Eukaryota; Viridiplantae; Streptophyta; Magnoliopsida; Asterales; Asteraceae.
UUGGUUUGUUACUGGUGGUCGGCUCAAUUGCUUGUGCACAACUUCCACCUGACAUGCAUGCUCGGACAUCAUUAAGGCUUUGAUUUCCUGAACCAAUUGUGGGUUUCUUGUGUUGCCUACCUAACAUACGGUAUUGGUUUUGCUUAUCUAUGUUUCGUUCGUCUUUUGUCAUGAUCAUGAAGUUAGAUGAACCCCAAACCUGUCUCUUUGAGCCAUAUCAUUAAUAUAUGUGUUGAUGNAGUGGUNCAUGGACCCUAGCUUGGUAUCUUCGAUGUAGUGCUUAAUGUGGSCAUGGGUCUCAUGGAUCCUGUUAUGUCUUUGUUUAGUGUUUACGCUCCUUAAAAUGACUGCUUGACGCGUGUUGGCUCGUAAAAGCGUGUUGGGCUCUGUCUAAGAGGACUGUUACCUGGU